CCUACGGGGGGCUGCAGUGGGGAAUAUUGGACAAUGGGGGCAACCCUGAUCCAGCCAUGCCGCGUGUGUGAAGAAGGCCCUCGGGUUGUAAAGCACUUUCAGUGAGGAAGAACGCCUGGUGGUUAAUACCCAUCAGGAAAGACAUCACUCACAGAAGAAGCACCGGCUAACUCCGUGCCAGCAGCCGCGGUAAUACGGAGGGUGCGAGCGUUAAUCGGAAUUACUGGGCGUAAAGCGCGCGUAGGUGGCUUGAUAAGCCGGUUGUGAAAGCCCCGGGCUCAACCUGGGAACGGCAUCCGGAACUGUCAAGCUAGAGUGCAGGAGAGGAAGGUAGAAUUCCCGGUGUAGCGGUGAAAUGCGUAGAGAUCGGGAGGAAUACCAGUGGCGAAGGCGGCCUUCUGGACUGACACUGACACUGAGGUGCGAAAGCGUGGGUAGCAAACAGGAUUAGAUACCCUUGAAGUC
RNAcentral lists this ribosomal RNA (465 nucleotides) under Vreelandella stevensii. Its description in RNAcentral is "partial 16S ribosomal RNA". It matches the Rfam family "Bacterial small subunit ribosomal RNA", at positions 338 to 795 of the family's 1533-position model. Lineage: Bacteria; Pseudomonadati; Pseudomonadota; Gammaproteobacteria; Oceanospirillales; Halomonadaceae. The record is from RNAcentral.